Molecule: ribosomal RNA, 1343 nt
Filed under: uncultured bacterium
Lineage: Bacteria
Description: 16S ribosomal RNA
Rfam family: Bacterial small subunit ribosomal RNA
Source: RNAcentral
GACGAACGCUGGCGGCGUGCUUAACACAUGCAAGUCGAACGGAAAGGCCCUGCUUUUGUGGGGUGCUCGAGUGGCGAACGGGUGAGUAACACGUGAGUAACCUGCCCUUGACUUUGGGAUAACUUCAGGAAACUGGGGCUAAUACCGGAUAGGAGCUCCUGCUGCAUGGUGGGGGUUGGAAAGUUUCGGCGGUUGGGGAUGGACUCGCGGCUUAUCAGCUUGUUGGUGGGGUAGUGGCUUACCAAGGCUUUGACGGGUAGCCGGCCUGAGAGGGUGACCGGCCACAUUGGGACUGAGAUACGGCCCAGACUCCUACGGGAGGCAGCAGUGGGGAAUAUUGCACAAUGGGCGGAAGCCUGAUGCAGCAACGCCGCGUGCGGGAUGACGGCCUUCGGGUUGUAAACCGCUUUCGCCUGUGACGAAGCGUGAGUGACGGUAAUGGGUAAAGAAGCACCGGCUAACUACGUGCCAGCAGCCGCGGUGAUACGUAGGGUGCGAGCGUCGUCCGGAUUUAUUGGGCGUAAAGGGCUCGUAGGUGGUUGAUCGCGUCGGAAGUGUAAUCUUGGGGCUUAACCCUGAGCGUGCUUUCGAUACGGGUUGACUUGAGGAAGGUAGGGGAGAAUGGAAUUCCUGGUGGAGCGGUGGAAUGCGCAGAUAUCAGGAGGAACACCAGUGGCGAAGGCGGUUCUCUGGGCCUUUCCUGACGCUGAGGAGCGAAAGCGUGGGGAGCGAACAGGCUUAGAUACCCUGGUAGUCCACGCUGUAAACGGUGGGUACUAGGUGUGGGGUCCAUUCCACGGGUUCCGUGCCGUAGCUAACGCUUUAAGUACCCCGCCUGGGGAGUACGGCCGCAAGGCUAAAACUCAAAGGAAUUGACGGGGCCCCGCACAAGCGGCGGAGCAUGCGGAUUAAUUCGAUGCAACGCGUAGAACCUUACCUGGGUUUGACAUGGAUCGGGAGCGCUCAGAGAUGGGUGUGCCUCUUUUGGGGUCGGUUCACAGGUGGUGCAUGGCUGUUGUCAGCUCGUGUCGUGAGAUGUUGGGUUAAGUCCCGCAACGAGCGCAACCCUUGUUCACUGUUGCCAGCACGUUAUGGUGGGGACUCAGUGGAGACCGCCGGGGUCAACUCGGAGGAAGGUGGGGAUGACGUCAAGUCAUCAUGCCCCUUAUGUCCAGGGCUUCACGCAUGCUACAAUGGCUGGUACAGAGAGUGGCGAGCCUGUGAGGGUGAGCGAAUCUCGGAAAGCCGGUCUCAGUUCGGAUUGGGGUCUGCAACUCGACCUCAUGAAGUCGGAGUCGCUAGUAAUCGCAGAUCAGCAACGCUGCGGUGAAUACGUUCCCGGG